This 72-nucleotide transfer RNA is filed under the name Hapsidospora chrysogenum ATCC 11550. Its description in RNAcentral is "Acremonium chrysogenum ATCC 11550 tRNA". It matches the Rfam family "tRNA". Rfam says of the family: Transfer RNA (tRNA) molecules are approximately 80 nucleotides in length. Their secondary structure includes four short double-helical elements and three loops (D, anti-codon, and T loops). Lineage: Eukaryota; Fungi; Ascomycota; Sordariomycetes; Hypocreales; Bionectriaceae. The record is from Rfam by way of RNAcentral.
GCCCUUAUAGCUCAGCGGUAGAGCGUUGCACUCGUAAUGCAAAGGCCGCUGGUUCAAGUCCAGCUGGGGGCA